UCGCGGCUUAUCACCGGCAGUCUCCCUAGAGUGCUCAACUAAAUGGUAGCAACUAAGGACGGGGGUUGCGCUCGUUGCGGGACUUAACCCAACAUCUCACGACACGAGCUGACGACAGCCAUGCAGCACCUGUGUCCAGGUUCCCUUUCGGGCACACCCCCAUCUCUGGGGGCUUCCCGGCAUGUCAAGGGUAGGUAAGGUUUUUCGCGUUGCAUCGAAUUAAUCCACAUAAUCCACCGCUUGUGCGGGUCCCCGUCAAUUCCUUUGAGUUUUAAUCUUGCGACCGUACUCCCCAGGCGGGAUGCUUAAUACGUUAGCUGCGCCACCGAAGAGCAAGCUCCCCGACGGCUAGCAUCCAUCGUUUACGGCGUGGACUAC
RNAcentral lists this unclassified non-coding RNA (378 nucleotides) under uncultured Pseudomonadota bacterium. Its description in RNAcentral is "uncultured proteobacterium contains 16S-23S intergenic spacer region". Lineage: Bacteria; Pseudomonadati; Pseudomonadota. The record is from RNAcentral.